This 342-nucleotide unclassified non-coding RNA is filed under the name uncultured Ascomycota. RNAcentral describes it as "sequence contains ITS1". Lineage: Eukaryota; Fungi; Ascomycota. The record is from RNAcentral.
AAUCCGAGAAUUUCACCUCUGACCAUGAAAUACGAAUGCCCCCGACUGUCCCUCUUAAUCAUUACUCCGGUCCCACAGACCAACACGAUGGGCCAGAGUCCUAUCGUGUUAUCCCAUGCUAUCGUAUUCACAGCGAUCGCCUGCUUUGAACACUCUAAUUUACUCAAAGUAACCUCGGUGACUCCGACUCCCGAGGAACGAACCCCAGAACGCCGUCACCACCAGAAAAGAGGCCGCGCCAGUACUCAGCAAUGCCGGACCGGCGUUACCCUCCCGAAAUCCAACUACGAGCUUUUUAACUGCAACAACUUAAAUAUACGCUAUUGGAGCUGGAAUUACCGC